Molecule: small RNA, 87 nt
Filed under: Peribacillus loiseleuriae
Lineage: Bacteria; Bacillati; Bacillota; Bacilli; Caryophanales; Bacillaceae
Description: Bacillus sp. FJAT-27997 BsrC
Rfam family: BsrC
About the family: The 301 nucleotide sequence from Kouji Nakamura has been trimmed to a highly conserved ~85 nucleotide long core to form this family.
Source: Rfam by way of RNAcentral
CAAACCUAAAACAAUGAAAGCCCUGCCUCUCUCCCAUCUCUACGGUUCCUAGACCGCGCCAGUGAGAAUCAGAUUUGACUGUAAGCA